RNAcentral lists this long non-coding RNA (376 nucleotides) under Mytilus galloprovincialis (Mediterranean mussel). Lineage: Eukaryota; Metazoa; Mollusca; Bivalvia; Mytilida; Mytilidae. The record is from RNAcentral.
AUAAAUUCUGCACAUUUUUUUGAAAAGUGCAAAUUUAACAGACUAAUAGGGGAAAAUCAAUGGUGGUAUUACACCUCAAAUGAGGUGAAUCUGUUUUGCACUCAUAUUGUGCAAUGAUAAGAAUUAUAUUUUGAAAAUAAAAAGUAAAACUUACUUACUUUGAUUGACAGCGACACUUUUUAACAAAGGAAACAACUGUACAAGUUUUACUCUAGAAGGGAGUGGCUAAAAAAAAAAACUGUAAUACAAAUGAGAAUAAAUAACGCCAAAUUAAUAACAAAAACAAUUGUCAUUUUGAUGCAUUAUGUUAAUGACUUUUUGUAAGUUAAUGUUUAGUCUCAUGUCUUUUUUGUACAGUGUGGCCAUCCUGUGUUUU